UGAACUUGAACUCACAUCCAAGUCCCAGGCUACGAGGCUGGAAUCAGGUCAUCCAGAGAAGCCAGGGCUGUGUGGCAAAGAUGCUUCUCGCACAGCUGGAAUCUAGAUAGCAGAGGACCCCAGGCUGCCUUAUCUGGGACCCAGUGUUAGAUCAUCUUCGCUCCUCUCUCACUGGGAGUGUGCAAAGGGCAUGGCUGCACCCAGGGGAGCCCCUGCAGUGUGCGUUCAAAGGCCUGACAAUUCUGACCUUUCCCACCUCCUCCGAUGCACCAACCCUAAUAUGUCCUACAGAUGCUGUGAAACCCAUGAUCCCUGCCAAGAGCAGCAGCCAGAGAGCAAAGCCCCACAGGACAGGGAGCAGUGGUGCAGAGGUGAUCUGCUUGGUUCCAGUGAGGCUCCUGACCUGUGGUUCAAUGGCUCUGGACACAAGUGACUCUGAUCCUAGCAACCAGGCCUGGUGCUGGGAGAUGUGAAUUCUGAGCAUGGAGGGACUCGAAAGUCCAUCACAGUUGGGACCCAGCCUCACCUUGGCCAAGCAGAAAACCUUCCUAGCUGUGUGACCUUGGACAGCUUAAGUAAUUUUUCUGAAGUCAAGAUCUUUAUGACACUUAGGUCAGUUUCCCAAGGCUGAAUCCAGGACACUGAGCCACAAGCAAAAUUUGAAUAACUGAUAAUGAUCAGUGAGCUUGCUGUAUGUCCAGGACCAUGCUAAAUGAGACAUGUGUAUACAUGUAUUUGUAUAUGUAACAAGUGUGUAUACAAACAUACACAUAUAUAUUCUAAUUUAGCAAUCUCAAAAAUCCUAACAGGUGGACAUAUUAUCUUUAUCUUAUAGAUAUGGAGAGAGGUUGAGUAACAUCAAACCUAGAACUGGAAUUGUAUUUACACAUCAAAGACCAUUAGGGAUGAGAUAAUGGCUAAAAAGGAUAUGAAAAGGAAACACUGGACAAAGGGGUGCGUGGAUACUAACCAGGCUGAUUUCUGGCGGUCCCACCUGCUUGUCAUGCCAAUUAAAGGUGGAACUGAUAUGAAGCAUAAGGGAGUAGAGGCAACCUGCUGAGGAGUGUUGAAUAACCAGAAGACCAGUUAUACCAGUAUUGAAGUGGGAGCAGUAGCUUUAACUAUCAUAAUCUUAUGUGGAUGUAAAGCACCUUGAAAUAAAGUAUGACCAGAGCACUGUUAUUUAUUUUAUCAAUCAUAGUUGUCUUCGAUGUUAAAUUCCUAUAGAAUGUCAACAUAUAAUAAUUAUAAAGUUUUACAGGUAAAAUUUGAGAUCAAGGGCCAGGGAUUUAACUCAGUGGCACUGUGCUUGUCUCGCAAGUGCAAGGUCCUGAGUUCGAUACCUGGUACAAAAGAAAAAAAUUGAGAUCAAGGGC
Long non-coding RNA from Heterocephalus glaber (naked mole-rat), 1376 nucleotides. The record is from Ensembl. NCBI's taxonomy places the organism in Eukaryota, Metazoa, Chordata, Mammalia, Rodentia, Bathyergidae.